CAUUCUAGUUUGAAAUGUUGGUGAGAGUAACGUGUUAAUUCAAAGCUGUUUUAAAAUGAUAUGUAAUGUAGCGAGUCUUGCGAGGUUGAAUUCCUUUAUAUUUUUAUUGGAUAUUGAACUCGCUACAAGCAACUCUCUACAAGUUACUCUGAAGAGCUUGGUUAGAAUGGACAUCUGUUGCCACUUCGCAUCGAUCUUGAUAACAGCGUGUUAUGUAGACUGUGUAUGAAGAUGAAAACAGACGCUGUGUUCUUAACGAAAUAAACCCCACCAGAGGGUGUGAUCCAUGUUUUUUCAAGAAUGCUGGUUGAAUUCUAACAACACUUCGUUAUUCAAGUGCUAUAACCCGAAGGAGACUUGAUCACUGUUCGGAAAUUUAAUGUCGACUCUUAAUACAGCUAGGAGCUCACUUUUCCGAAGGAAACUAGAGUAAUUCCUUGUAUCAUUGGAUAUUGAAGUGGAUUGUCUCGUUGCCACACAUCUCAACAUCUUGAGAGUUCCAAAAUGUUUUGAAAAGACACUGAGCCCUGGAUACUACAUGUCUACUCCGCAACUUCAUUUUCAAGAUCAUCCAAAUAUAUAACUUGUGUAACUUGGUACAUAAAAGUAUGGCUUUACUAUAAUCCAUAAUCUAGAGUUAGUGUGGUUAAGAUCAAACUUGAAAAGUACUCGAAACUUGAUCUAUGCUUUGUAUAACGGAUUAUGAUUGUUUUAAUUUAUCUUAAAUUAUGCAGGGAACUUUAAUGAAAAUUGUAAAAUUCUUUAAUUUUAACUUUAUCAAAUUAUUGUAAAUCUCCCCAAGAAAAUGAAACGGACGAAAUAAUUGAAAACGGCUUUUACGGAUUUAGCUUUAAGUCGCAUGUUCGAUUCCUGGUCCCGCAUCUUCCAGUUAAUAGGUUCCCCUUUAAUCGACGAACUAUUUCAGAGAACACGCUGAAUAAGAAUACUAACAAAUGCACCUUCCUUUAAUCGAAUUUUUUCGACUUCGAAGUUUUCAGUUUCCUUAUAAAUCGAAACAUAAAUCGCAUUUAUAGGUAUUAAUUCCAACUUGUGAUUUUGGGGUUGUAUUUCAGUUCUAUCUCGGUAGCAAUUCAUUUACACUUCAGCCAGUUUCAAUUGUAACCUUAAAAUGAUUUAAUUGCGAAACUCGGACGCCCCUAAAGCUCAAAUUCUAAUUUUCCUCAAACCAUCAGACAAAUUAUUUCUUCUAGGGAAAUUAGUACAAAAAGGCGCUAUUCACGAAUAAAAAAAUCGGUUAAGGACAACAUCCUUACGGCGUUUGUAUAUCGCAUAGUAGCAUAAGAAUCAGUCUUUAAUUUUCUACCGUCAUGACAUGGAUGUAUGCUUUUGGAUUAAAUUCUAAUGACUGUUGCCAACUUAGCUUUGAAUUUAAGAUGUAUGCAAUAUAAAAUCUUAAGUUGAGGACGCGCGUUCCAAUUAGUUAAUUUGGUAGGCAAAAUUUGGAGAGAUAGUUGCAAAUGCCAGUGUUGAAAGUAUAUAAAUUGCCUGGUUCUUGUGGGAAUCUUGUUCUUCGGCCAAUUGGGUUUCGAGAUGAGGUAAAAUGGAGGGAGUUGGGGUUAACGCGUUAAGUAAUACUGGUCCCUGCUGACUUUCUGCUCAGGCUGUUCGGGACCGGCAGCCAAAGCAGAAAGCAGCGGUCCCCGGGGAGCAGGUAUUUAACGCGUUAACUAGGAUCAUUGCAAGUGGAAUAGAGUAUUUGUGGGUUUUGAUUAGGAUGAAUGAAAUGGGAAUUGGCAUAAUUAGUCGAUAUAUCGAUUGGUAUAUCUGUGGAGGAAGGGGGUCGAAUCUGAGCUUAUUAAAUGCAAUUUGUACAAGAAACACUGGUAGCAACUAUCUCCAAAAUUCAAACUUGUUCCCAAGUUACUUAACACAUGCAAACCAAACAUCCUUAUUUUUUAGGCGCAAAAAUUUAAAAUACCUUGCCAUUUAGCUACCGCUAUCUUGAAUAAAUCAAACGCAAUGACUCGGCAGUGUUCAAAAUUAGAGUUAAAAUAACAAAUGUUUCGGAUAUGAUGUGUCGUCAAAUUAGGAAGUCGAGUAAAUUCGCAUGUGAAGGGCUUAAACGCGAUGUAAAUUAUAUAAAUCCAUGCAAUUCUACCCCUUAAAAAUAAGAUUUUUCCAUUAGUGAUGGGGGAAGUUAAAAGAUGAAACUUUCCGUGAAUCGAAAUACGAUCAACUAAUUAUAAAAAUAUUACUGGCUAGAUUUUUAUUUGCUAUUUGAAAAUCAAGAUAGUAUUGUACUAAUUUUAAAUUGAGGUUGGUUUUGUGAUGGUUUGAGGAAAUCUUAAAAGGAAUAUUCGCGAUUCUAACGCUUCUUCUAUCUUGCAUUUAGCUAACUUCGUAAUGCAGAUCCCAUCAAAUCAAGCACCUUCUGAGCUUGGAUUAGAUAAUAGAAAUGCAAAUCAAAUUAUAAUUUUAAUUUGAGUACAUCGAUUAAAGAUUGGAUUCCUUAAAUGUCGUAUUCAAAUAACAUUUUAUCUUCUAUACAUCCCUUGUGUUGUAAUAGAUCGAAAGUUCAACGAUAGUUAAAGCUGAUUGGAAAUUCCAACAUGAAAUGAAGAAAACGACUAAAACGUAAGCCACUUUUGAAGCAACUGCUCGAUCUUCUACAAAAAUUUCUAAUCCAAAAAAAUAAAAUCUGAAUCUUAAGACCCCAAGAAAUUAAUGUCAAAAUAAAUUUCACUAUUAGGGACACCUGGAAUCGAACAACUUUUGAAAUUCAAGUUCAUGUAUUUUCCAUUUUAAAAGAAAUUUUUAAAAUUUUAAGUUAGGUUUAACUGAUAGUUUAGAGGCGCGAACAUUAUUUGAAAGAUAGAAUCGUCCGUUUCAUUUGAAUUUAAAAUCAUCUCGGCAUGUGUAGUAAAUAUUCUAGUAAUUUCUUUAGUUUAAAAUUCUAAGAAUGCACAACUUCACGUGAAGGUUUUUAUUAAAUGGAUCUUAAGUUGGAAGAUCUUUUGAAAUCGGAAUAUUUUUAUAAAGCUGCGCCGCAUAUUUUUAAAUCCAAGCCAAAUAAAAGCCGUUCUAUAGCUAUAUAUGCAAGCUGAUUUCGAUACUUCAGUUCAAGUUUCCUCGCAAUUGAUAGUUAGCAUUCAUCUGUUUUAUGCUUAAAUUUUGUCUGCUAAUUUGUACUUUCUAGUAGUAGUUCUGAAAUAUUGUGCAGCAGGAAUUUUGGAUGAAUAUAGUUGAAGCCGAAAACUGUCGCCUCCUUCAGAAAAUAUUCUGCAGAUUGUAGCUAUACCAUAGUCAAGUCACUGAUAGUUACUCUCGACAUGCUGAGAGUAUUGAAAAGGUAGACAAGACAACAAAUGUUUGUAUAUAUCUUCCAUGUUUGUAAAGAUGAAGUUUUAUGUUGAAUUAAACUCCUAGUGUUUCAGUAAUGAAAUUUUGUAAUUAUCAAUGUUGCUACUAUCGGAACUUAAUUUGUGGAAACUCAAAAUGAAGCUUUGAUUUCAUAUCGGAAUAGUUCUAUAAGGAAUUUCGAAAAUUGAUCAUUGUAUUUAGAAACGGUUAUUUCAAUAUCUUAAAUAUUUAACUUUUCUAGGCUGGACGAUGUAUAGAUAGGAUCGGUUUAGGGAAUUGAUGAACAAAAUACUUAUUGGCGUUUAUCAUGUUAAAUCGGAUAGAAACGUUCCUAAAUCUUAAUUCAAGAUUUUCAUGGCAUCUGUGAAAAAAAAUUAAAGAACUAAUUUAAAUUUAGUUCCAGUGAGGAACUCGUUGCAUUUUCGAAAGAUGAUUUUCUUGUCGCAGUUGUAUUCCUCUCUUCUCUUUUGGAUAAUAGAGGGCGAUGCCUGAUUAAGUAUGCAUUCCAUAGUGCAUUGCGAUUGUAAGAAUGAGAUGCGAUGUUAAGGUGCGCGCGUUAAUAUCUUUUUUAGUGUUUUGUGUGAAAUCUGGUCACUAAAAUGUUCCUGAAAACACGAAUCCCCCUUGCUUCCACUGCACGGAUCAUAAUUCCACCACAUUCUUUAAUUAAACUGAAAUUUCUAUUUCGAAUAAUUGUUACUCAGCACUUGGCUUAAAUUCAAUUUUUAACUAAAAUACAAGUGAAUAACAAAUGAGCCAUCAAUCUGCAAUACUAUCAAUCUAGUGUUUGCUUCCUUAUAAAUCUUCUGAACGAGUUCGUUUUGCCAGUAACUAUUUCAGUGUAACGUCCAAACUCUAUUCCCGAUAGGAAAGUAGGCACCAGCUAAAUUUAGGUUAUUUUGGAGUUACAACUUCAGUAUUCCAACUGCCGUGUUCAAUUUCUAUAAAUACAAUUCUAGAUUUGAAAUGUUUAAUGCAUUAGACUGUUGCUCACAAAACAAUGUAAUUAGUAAAAAUUAGAACCAAAAAUAUGCUUGCGUCUCCAUAUAAAACUCGUGAACCAGAAGAAUCCUCUUAAACUAAAUUUAAUUCGUAUCAAAAAUUUUAAACUAAAUUUCUCUCGGAAUAAAUUACAACUUUUCAGUAAAAUAUCGACUAAAAUUUAAAUUUUAGCUAUACGAGCAUAAAUUUUAACGCAUCUGGAUAGAGUAGUUGCAAAUGUAAUUGUAUGUUUUAUGUGAAGGUGGUCAUUUGCUCCGUCGACAAGCAAACUGACCACAUUCCGUCUCUAAAAAAAUUACGGGCAUUUUGAUCUCGGUGCCUGGCCAACAUCGGGAUCAAAAUGUUUCGAAUAAAAUCUUCAAUAGCUUUAAAUUCAGUUAAUUGUAAAAUGUUUCUUAAAAUUGAGACUACUGCUCUAAAAAAUCUAAAAUUAAGCUUUGAAAAAUGUUUAAUUUACAAAUACUAAAGCAUCUUAAAUUAUUUCAUUCUUUCAGUUUAAGUAAAGCCUCUCUUAAUCUCAUUAAAUCUGGAUCAAACUAUUUUUGAGUUUUUGUACUAAACAAGCAAGAUUUUAAAUAUUGCUCUAAUAGUUUCACUUCUGUAUGUUCGUGAUUAGUAAUGUCUGGAUUCAUCUGGUUCACGCUUACAACACCGGAAUUUUUAAUGUCUCACGAUUCCCAUGUUCCUUUUUAACAUCAUACUGAAUUAAAAUAGUUAAUAUUAAUGUCUUGGGUCUCAUUAAUGAAAAUUCCGCAGUUUGCUAUAUAAAGUUCAGUGAAAACCGAUAACAUUACUGCUCGCCUUGAAGACUUGUCCAUAAUUUUUGACUAAUUCGAAACCAACAACGUAAAAAUUCUAAUGGAUUUGAAUGCAAUGCACAUCUGUUGUAAAUAGAAAUUUCUAUCGUUAAACGUGACGUUUUUAAAAUUUUAAGGUAAUUAAAAGAUAGUUUAAACAUCGUAAUUCCGAAUUAAAUUUGAACAAAAUCAAGAAAAUAUUAAAUAUCCAGCUUUAUUAGAAACUCUCGGCAUAAAAUUAAAUCUUCAAAGCUCGUCUCUACGACAACUUUAGUUCUGAUUCACUCAAAUUUCUAGAGCCCUAACGAUAAGAGUUUUAGAGGAAAAAAUUA
Argiope bruennichi is the source of this 5452-nucleotide long non-coding RNA. RefSeq lists it as uncharacterized. The record is from RefSeq and is a predicted model, not a curated record. NCBI's taxonomy places the organism in Eukaryota, Metazoa, Arthropoda, Arachnida, Araneae, Araneidae. The transcript has 4 exons.